This 254-nucleotide ribosomal RNA is filed under the name uncultured bacterium. RNAcentral describes it as "partial 16S ribosomal RNA". It matches the Rfam family "Bacterial small subunit ribosomal RNA", at positions 524 to 776 of the family's 1533-position model. The record is from RNAcentral.
UACGGGGGGAGCAAGCGUUGUUCGGAUUUACUGGGCGUAAAGGGCGCGUAGGCGGCCAGCACAAGUCAGUUGUGAAAUCUCCGAGCUUAACUCGGAAAGGUCAACUGAUACUGUGCGGCUAGAGUGCGGAAGGGGCAACUGGAAUUCUUGGUGUAGCGGUGAAAUGCGUAGAUAUCGAGAGGAACACCUGCGGCGAAGGCGGGUUGCUGGGCCGACACUGACGCUGAGGCGCGAAAGCCAGGGGAGCGAACGGG